This 208-nucleotide unclassified non-coding RNA is filed under the name plant metagenome. Its description in RNAcentral is "partial contains small subunit ribosomal RNA, internal transcribed spacer 1, and 5.8S ribosomal RNA". The record is from RNAcentral.
GUAGGUGAACCUGCGGAAGGAUCAUUCAUAAUAAGUGUUUUAUGGCACUUUUUUAAAUCCAUAUCCACCUUGUGUGCAAUGUCAGGGUUGAUUUUUCUCUCGCGAGGAUCAGCCCCAAACAUCAACUAUAUCUCAACUCUUUGUCUGAAAAAUAUUAUAAAUAAAACAAUUCAAAAUACAACUUUCAACAACGGAUCUCUUGGCUCUC